This is a long non-coding RNA of Pocillopora damicornis (cauliflower coral), 634 nucleotides long. The record is from RefSeq and is a predicted model, not a curated record. Lineage: Eukaryota; Metazoa; Cnidaria; Anthozoa; Scleractinia; Pocilloporidae.
GCUUACGAACUACAAGAAAUUUGAGCGUCUCUUUUGGCUUAUGUGGAGUCAAGAAACGCGUCAUUUCGAACCCUUUAUCUUGGAUACUGUCUUUUCUGUCCAGGUCAACGUGUGUUCUUAUGCUGGAUUGAGUGGUUGGGAUACUUUGUUGAGGAUUCAUGCUUUUCUCUCAGUCACCGCUAUUAUUUAGAAGAAAAGAAAUGGAACACCUCGAAAUCAAGAAAGUCAAGGAAGGAGAGAAAUACAGGAUCACAUCUGACAAGGUCCAGCGUCUUCUUCCUUUCAGAACGCAACGUUACGUUUCGCACACCAAACGCACGUCUUCACUCGACAACUGACAGCGUGGUUUGCUGAAAAUCUACAACUUCUGAUGAAUAUGGAUUAACGACGGCAGCCAAUAACCGGCUGCUACACCACAGAUUUGGCGCGGAGUAUUGUGUGCAAACUCAGCGCCACUUUUUUUUGUUUUUCAAGCGAGCAGAGGAAAGGGCGAGACCUAGUCAAAUGGACAGGUGCUAAAAGGAAAAUACUUGCAAAGGUUACGCCCCGGGCGCUUUUAUCUACUCACCUAAAAAACUAAAAACUCGAAAUGGCGUCUGUUCCACAGGUUAGUACUCAGAGAGCCACAUCCAAC